GUGUCAGCCGCCGCGGUAAUACGUAGGGACCAAGCGUUGUUCGGAUUUACUGGGCGUAAAGGGCGCGUAGGCGGCUUGACAAGUCACUUGUGAAAUCUCCGGGCUUAACUCGGAACGGCCAAGUGAAACUGUCAUGCUAGAGUGCAGAAGGGGCAAUCGGAAUUCUUGGUGUAGCGGUGAAAUGCGUAGAUAUCAAGAGGAACACCUGAGGUGAAGACGGGUUGCUGGGCUGACACUGACGCUGAGGCGCGAAAGCCAGGGGAGCAAACGGGAUUAGAUACCCGCGUAGUCC
This 292-nucleotide ribosomal RNA is filed under the name uncultured bacterium. RNAcentral describes it as "partial 16S ribosomal RNA". It matches the Rfam family "Bacterial small subunit ribosomal RNA", at positions 505 to 796 of the family's 1533-position model. The record is from RNAcentral.